GGACUAGUACUUUAGUCUGGGCCUGGUCGUAGUAAAGGGCUAGUACUUUAGUCUGGGCCUGGUCGUAGUAAAGGGCUAGUACUUUAGUACUCGUACUUAAGGGCUAGCGGUGUCUUCAGUGUGUGUACGUCUGUGUUUGUGUCGUCAGAGUUUGGGAUCGAUUGCAGUGCGCCUCAGCAUUAUCCCGUUUUCCAGUUUCAGCUCGUUUCAACAUCACAGUUUAGCCAAAUCAAAGUUGGAAGUUAUAAACGGGGUCAGAGAAAAUAAAAACACCAAACCAAAAGAACCCAUACCAUAAAAACUGAAAUGUUUGUGGGAUCAUGGAAGGCGCCGGCGGGCGACUCCCCCAGCGUGGUUUCCAGUCCGGGCGACUACACUAAUCUCCUGCACGUUGUCUAGAUCAGAUAAGAAGGAGUGCUGCGAUUCAACAUCCAACGUUACUUCCUCGUAGUAAGUUAAGGAUUCCCAAUGCAGUCAUCAGUCCGAUCGCACGGGAGAGUUCCCUCGACCCCCCCUGAAGGAGUCUGGGUGGGGGGGGCAUGGGAGUGUUCCCUCUACCCCCCCUGAAGGAGUCUGGGUGGGGGGGGGGGGUCAUGGGAGAGUUCCCUCUACCCCCCCUGAAGGAGUCCGGGUGGGGGGGGCAUGGGAGUGUUCCCUCUACCCCCCCUGAAGGAGUCUGGGUGGGGGGGUCAUGGGAGUGUUCCCUCUACCCCCCCUGAAGGAGUCCGGGUGGGGGGGGCAUGGGAGUGUUCCCUCGACCCCCCCCUGAAGGAGUCUGGGUGGGGGGGUCAUGGGAGAGUUCCCUCUACCCCCCCUGAAGGAGUCUGGGUGGGGGGGGUCAUGGGAGAGUUCCCUCUACCCCCCCUGAAGGAGUCUGGGUGGGGGGGGGGGGUCAUGGGAGUGUUCCCUCUACCCCCCCUGAAGGAGUCUGGGUGGGGGGGGCAUGGGAGAGUUCCCUCUACCCCCCCCUGAAGGAUCCGGGUGGGGGGGGUCAUGGGAGUGUUCCCUCUACCCCCCCUGAAGGAGUCUGGGUGGGGGGGGGGAGCACAGCCAGCCCCCCGUCACAGCGGCUGGCGAUCAUGUUGCCCACCUCCGUCCAGGUGUCCAGGUGGGGGUCGUAGACCUCCACAGAGUCCACCGUCACGGGGGCCGAGAAGUCCCGGCUGGUGGCGCGGCCCCCCACUGCGUACAGCAGCCCGUUGACCGCCGCCACCGA
Long non-coding RNA from Gadus macrocephalus (Pacific cod), 1216 nucleotides. RefSeq lists it as uncharacterized. NCBI's taxonomy places the organism in Eukaryota, Metazoa, Chordata, Actinopteri, Gadiformes, Gadidae. The transcript is spliced from 3 exons. The record is from RefSeq and is a predicted model, not a curated record.